This 267-nucleotide signal recognition particle RNA is filed under the name Armatimonadota bacterium. Its description in RNAcentral is "Armatimonadetes bacterium (rhizosphere metagenome) signal recognition particle sRNA large type". It matches the Rfam family "Bacterial large signal recognition particle RNA". Rfam says of the family: The signal recognition particle (SRP) is a universally conserved ribonucleoprotein involved in the co-translational targeting of proteins to membranes. Archaeal SRP consists of a 7S RNA and homologues of the eukaryotic SRP19 and SRP54 proteins. The record is from RNAcentral. Lineage: Bacteria; Bacillati; Armatimonadota.
CCGUGCUAGGCGGGGCGACAGCGGUGCCCUGCACUCCAAACCCGCUUUAUGGGAGGCUGAAAUCCUGCCCUCGGAGCGCUCCUUUACGGCUCUGGCGCGCGUGCGCGGCGUUGAUGGACGGACCCGGCGCAACGGAUGGCCUCCGAACCUCGUCAGGUCGGGAACGAAGCAGCGAUAAGGAGUUUCACCCGUGUGCCGCCGCCGCUCUGACCGGAGCAAGCGGCGCGCGUAACACGCGGAGGAACGUCUUCAACGGCAGGUGCACGG